This 167-nucleotide ribosomal RNA is filed under the name Byblis aquatica. RNAcentral describes it as "5.8S ribosomal RNA". It matches the Rfam family "5.8S ribosomal RNA". From Rfam's summary of the family: 5.8S ribosomal RNA (5.8S rRNA) is a component of the large subunit of the eukaryotic ribosome. It is transcribed by RNA polymerase I as part of the 45S precursor that also contains 18S and 28S rRNA. Lineage: Eukaryota; Viridiplantae; Streptophyta; Magnoliopsida; Lamiales; Byblidaceae. The record is from RNAcentral.
GAAAGGAUGACUCUCGGCAACGGAUAUCUCGGCUCUCGCAUCGAUGAAGAACGCAGCGAAAUGCGAUACUUGGUGUGAAUUGCAGAAUCCCGCGAACCAUUGAGUCUUUGAACGCAAGUUGCGCCCGAGGCCAUCAGGCCAAGGGCACGCCUGCCUGGGCGUCACGC